CCUACGGGCGGCUGCAGUGGGGAAUAUUGCACAAUGGGCGCAAGCCUGAUGCAGCCAUGCCGCGUGUGUGAAGAAGGCCUUCGGGUUGUAAAGCACUUUCAGCGGGGAGGAAGGCGUUAAGGUUAAUAACCUUGGCGAUUGACGUUACCCGCAGAAGAAGCACCGGCUAACUCCGUGCCAGCAGCCGCGGUAAUACGGAGGGUGCAAGCGUUAAUCGGAAUUACUGGGCGUAAAGCGCACGCAGGCGGUCUGUCAAGUCGGAUGUGAAAUCCCCGGGCUCAACCUGGGAACUGCAUUCGAAACGGGCAGGCUAGAGUCUUGUAGAGGGGGGUAGAAUUCCAGGUGUAGCGGUGAAAUGCGUAGAGAUCUGGAGGAAUACCGGUGGCGAAGGCGGCCCCCUGGACAAAGACUGACGCUCAGGUGCGAAAGCGUGGGGAGCAAACAGGAUUAGAUACCCCAGUAGAC
Molecule: ribosomal RNA, 465 nt
Filed under: uncultured Klebsiella sp.
Lineage: Bacteria; Pseudomonadati; Pseudomonadota; Gammaproteobacteria; Enterobacterales; Enterobacteriaceae
Description: bacterial SSU rRNA
Rfam family: Bacterial small subunit ribosomal RNA
Source: RNAcentral